GUGGGGAAUAUUGGACAAUGGGCGAAAGCCUGAUGCAGCAACGCCGCGUGAGUGAUGAAGGUCUUCGGAUUGUAAAGCUCUGUCUUCUGGGACGACAAUGACGGUACCAGAGGAGGAAGCCACGGCUAACUACGUGCCAGCAGCCGCGGUAAUACGUAGGUGGCAAGCGUUGUCCGGAUUUACUGGGCGUAAAGGGUGCGCAGGCGGAUAUUUAAGUGGGAUGUGAAAUCCCCGGGCUUAACCUGGGGGCUGCAUUCCAAACUGGAUAUCUAGAGUGCAGGAGAGGAGAAUGGAAUUCCUAGUGUAGCGGUGAAAUGCGUAGAGAUUAGGAAGAACACCAGUGGCGAAGGCGAUUCUCUGGACUGUAACUGACGCUGAGGCACGAAAGCGUGGGUAGCAAACAGGAUUAGAAACCCGGGUAGUCC
This 425-nucleotide ribosomal RNA is filed under the name uncultured bacterium. RNAcentral describes it as "partial 16S ribosomal RNA". It matches the Rfam family "Bacterial small subunit ribosomal RNA", at positions 354 to 796 of the family's 1533-position model. The record is from RNAcentral.